GUGCUCAUUUUGGCAGGACAUAUACUAAAAUUGGAAUGAUACAGAGGAGAUUAGCAGGGCCCCUGUGCAAAGAUGAGUGAAAUUCAUGAAAUGUUCCACAUUAAA
Molecule: small nuclear RNA, 105 nt
Organism: Mustela putorius furo (domestic ferret)
Lineage: Eukaryota; Metazoa; Chordata; Mammalia; Carnivora; Mustelidae
Source: Ensembl